RNAcentral lists this ribosomal RNA (373 nucleotides) under uncultured bacterium. RNAcentral's name for it is "bacterial SSU rRNA". It matches the Rfam family "Bacterial small subunit ribosomal RNA", at positions 30 to 414 of the family's 1533-position model. The record is from RNAcentral.
AUUGAACGCUGGCGGCAGGCCUAACACAUGCAGGUCGAGCGGGGUUUUCGGACCUAGCGGCGGACGGGUGAGUAAUGCGUAGGAAGCUACCCGAUAGAGGGGGAUACCAGUUGGAAACGACUGUUAAUACCGCAUAAUGUCUACGGACCAAAGUGUGGGACCUUCGGGCCACAUGCUAUCGGAUGCGCCUACGUGGGAUUAGCUAGUUGGUGAGGUAAUGGCUCACCAAGGCGACGAUCUCUAGCUGGUUUGAGAGGAUGAUCAGCCACACUGGAACUGAGACACGGUCCAGACUCCUACGGGAGGCAGCAGUGGGGAAUAUUGGACAAUGGGCGGCAAGCCUGAUCCAGCCAUGCCGCGUGUGUGAAGAAGG